UGGCGAACGGGUGAGUAACACGUGGGCAACCUGCCCAAAAGAGGGGGAUAACACUUGGAAACAGGUGCUAAUACCGCAUAACCAUAGUUACCGCAUGGUAACUAUGUAAAAGGUGGCUAUGCUACCGCUUUUGGAUGGGCCCGCGGCGCAUUAGCUAGUUGGUGGGGUAAAGGCUUACCAAGGCAAUGAUGCGUAGCCGAACUGAGAGGUUGAUCGGCCACAUUGGGACUGAGACACGGCCCAAACUCCUACGGGAGGCAGCAG
This 264-nucleotide ribosomal RNA is filed under the name uncultured bacterium. RNAcentral's name for it is "partial 16S ribosomal RNA". It matches the Rfam family "Bacterial small subunit ribosomal RNA", at positions 96 to 354 of the family's 1533-position model. The record is from RNAcentral.